GACGAACGCUGGCGGCGUGCUUAACACAUGCAAGUCGAGCGGUGAAGUCUCUUCGGGGACUGAUUAGCGGCGGACGGGUGAGUAACACGUGGGUAACCUGCCUCAUAGAGGGGAAUAGCCUUCCGAAAGGAAGAUUAAUACCGCAUAAGAUUGUAGUUCCGCAUGAAACAGCAAUUAAAGGAGUAAUCCGCUAUGAGAUGGGCCCGCGUCGCAUUAGCUAGUUGGUGUGGUAACGGCUCACCAAGGCGACGAUGCGUAGCCGACCUGAGAGGGUGAUCGGCCACAUUGGGACUGAGACACGGCCCAGACUCCUACGGGAGGCAGCAGUGGGGAAUAUUGCACAAUGGGGGAAACCCUGAUGCAGCAACGCCGCGUGAGUGAUGACGGUCUUCGGAUUGUAAAACUCUGUCUUUGGGGACGAUAAUGACGGUACCCAAGGAGGAAGCCACGGCUAACUACGUGCCAGCAGCCGCUGUAA
This 478-nucleotide ribosomal RNA is filed under the name uncultured bacterium. RNAcentral's name for it is "partial 16S ribosomal RNA". It matches the Rfam family "Bacterial small subunit ribosomal RNA", at positions 28 to 523 of the family's 1533-position model. The record is from RNAcentral.